GUCACUACCCUUUCACGGACUCUUUUCUGAAACUCCCCGGCGUCCGAGAAAAAGCUAUGGCAAAACACUUGUAGCGACAGGCGUCUUCCGAUGAAGGUUAGUCCAAUGGUUCGAGAUCGUCGGAGGAAGAGGAACCAACAAGCGAGUAGAUCAAUGAGGAGCUCGAAGCGAUCGCUCGUUCGGCAGGCUCCGAUGAGGAUGAAUCUGUCGACGAUUCAGGGGCACUUGGCAAGACAUUACUAACCAUCUCCUUGUUGGGCUAGCCGCUACAGGGGCAUAACAGGCCCCAAAAUCUACACUAAAAGACUGGAUGAACCAAAUUCGUCGUCGUUUUGCCCUGACUUGUGAGUUAUAAAGUUUCUUGGAAAUCCUGAUGAAACGGUAUUUUCUUCCUUCCUUGAAAUAUGUGAAUUUUAUUGAGGUUAGAUUGGGGUUUGUGGAGAAAACUGAUUAUUGCAUCAAUCAUGGAGCAAGUACGAAGUGUUCUAUAUUGACUAAUUAAA
This is a long non-coding RNA of Cucurbita pepo subsp. pepo (vegetable marrow), 503 nucleotides long. RefSeq lists it as uncharacterized. The record is from RefSeq and is a predicted model, not a curated record. NCBI's taxonomy places the organism in Eukaryota, Viridiplantae, Streptophyta, Magnoliopsida, Cucurbitales, Cucurbitaceae.